UACGAAGGGGGCUAGCGUUGUUCGGAAUUACUGGGCGUAAAGGGCGCGUAGGCGGUGUGUCAAGUCAGGCGUGAAAGCCCCGGGCUCAACCUGGGAAUGGCAGUGGAUACUGGACGGCUAGAAUGCGGUAGAGGGUAGUGGAAUUCCCGGUGUAGCAGUGAAAUGCGUAGAUAUCAAGAGGAACACCUGAGGCGAAGGCGGGUUGCUUGUCUGACACUGACGCUGAGGCGCGAAAGCCAGGGGAGCAAACGGG
RNAcentral lists this ribosomal RNA (253 nucleotides) under uncultured bacterium. Its description in RNAcentral is "partial 16S ribosomal RNA". It matches the Rfam family "Bacterial small subunit ribosomal RNA", at positions 524 to 776 of the family's 1533-position model. The record is from RNAcentral.